UACGUAGGGUGCAAGCGUUGUUCGGAUUUACUGGGCGUAAAGGGCGCGUAGGCGGCAAUUCAAGUCAGCUGUGAAAUCUCCGGGCUUAACUCGGAACGGUCAGCUGAUACUGCUUUGCUAGAGUGCAGAAGGGGCAAUCGGAAUUCUUGGUGUAGCGGUGAAAUGCGUAGAUAUCAAGAGGAACACCUGAGGUGAAGACGGGUUGCUGGGCUGACACUGACGCUGAGGCGCGAAAGCUAGGGUAGCAAACGGG
Molecule: ribosomal RNA, 253 nt
Filed under: uncultured bacterium
Lineage: Bacteria
Description: partial 16S ribosomal RNA
Rfam family: Bacterial small subunit ribosomal RNA
Source: RNAcentral